AUGUCCUCCCCUCCUGCUUCUAACUUAGAACUGUUUUGUUUAGAGUACAGUCUAAACCAACAUCAGUUAGCCUUCUUUUUUUUUUUUUUUUCUUUUUUGGAAUCUUCCUUGUUAAUAAACGGAACCCAAGAAGAGAUUCUUCUUUUCCCUGGACAUGGCGAUGUGUUGACGUGGAGUCUGGAGUACAGUAAAUCUUUCCACAUGAGGGAAGCCAGCCUGAAAAUGAAGCCAAUACAUGGAGGAGGGAAAGAAAGCAAGAGGGGAGAAGAGAAAGAGUGCAGAGCUGGCCCUGAAGCCACCCAACCUCCAGAUUUCCAGAUAUAUGAGCAAGCGUGACUUGGAUUUUCUGUUGCUGGCAACCCAGUGCGUCUGAACUGAUAUAUUAGUGAUUAUACAUCAGAAACUACUACAAACAGUGAAAGGUGAGGAAAUGGUGGAGAGACCUGAGUUUUGGCCCCAUUUCUGCCUCGUACCUCCCAGCCCAAGCAUUAGCCUCUGGGCCACAGCUUUGCUGUGAGAGCGUAAGGGAACUGUGUAGACCAGAGCACAGAGGAUUCUUCUUCCCCAGGGGCUCUUAUAAUUAAACAGGUCAGGGGCAAAACUAGGGUAAUGCAGGAACAAACAAACAGCUGCUCUCUCAAAGGCUUGAACAUGCCAGGUUCCCCUUUGGCCCAAGUUUUCAUGUGUUCUCUACACUUGGCAGCUGGCUGGGAAGUGGUGGGAGGUAGGAAGGAGACGGAAAUGCCUUCAAGUGGAAUUAGGUCAAAGCUGAUCAUUAAACAGCGUAUGGAUUGGGGAGUUUGCCUCCCCUUGUCUCUGUUCUGAAAGAAGCACGGGGAAAACAGUCGGCUCCCUUCAGGAGGAGCAGGAAGGGGGAUGCCAGAUGUGCCAGGCGGGUUACCUUCCUUCUCUUCUGGUGUCCUCACAGCAGGUGUGGGGGGGGUGCGCCUCUGUUUCUCAGACGCAGAAGUGGUCCCAAGAGGUAAAGUCACCUGCUCUGGGUAUGAACUUGACCUUGGUGCCCUGAGAUUCCAGACCCAAUGCUCUUUUUGAUACCGCCCACUGGCUCCCAGGAAAACACAGAAACCUACUCCAUUUGAUAUUUGAGUUCCAAAGGUUCAAACAGGAGCAUUCCAGGAGGGCCAAGGGAAAGUGUUGUCUCCUCAGGUGAACUUCAAUUGUUCUUCCUUCCCUGAGGGAGGCAACCAUGCUAUCAGAAGAACGUGGUUGUAUUUGUACAUACCAAGGGUAUGUUGGAAGGACACUCAAGAGCUGGUCAUAGUGGGUGAUCUGAGGGUGGCGGGGAAGGAAGCCUGGUCACCGAG
RNAcentral lists this long non-coding RNA (1325 nucleotides) under Canis lupus familiaris (dog). RNAcentral's name for it is "lncRNA (ENSCAFG00845006164.1)". Lineage: Eukaryota; Metazoa; Chordata; Mammalia; Carnivora; Canidae. The record is from RNAcentral.